RNAcentral lists this ribosomal RNA (301 nucleotides) under uncultured bacterium. RNAcentral describes it as "partial 16S ribosomal RNA". It matches the Rfam family "Bacterial small subunit ribosomal RNA", at positions 509 to 807 of the family's 1533-position model. The record is from RNAcentral.
CAGUAGCCGCGGGAAAACGGAGGGUGCAAGCGUUAAUCGGAAUUACUGGGCGUAAAGCGCACGCAGGCGGUCUGACAAGUCAGAUGUGAAAUCCCCGGGCUUAACCUGGGAACUGCAUUUGAAACUGUCAGGCUGGAGUCUUGUAGAGGGGGGUGGAAUUCCAGGUGUAGCGGUGAAAUGCGUAGAGAUCUGGAGGAAUACCGGUGGCGAAGGCGGCCCCCUGGACAAAGACUGACGCUCAGGUGCGAAAGCGUGGGGAGCAAACAGGAUUAGAUACCCCUGUAGUCCCUGUCUCUUAUAC